AAACUGCUUUUAUACGGGAAGAACACCCAUCCUCGGAUGGAUCUGACGGUACCGUACGAAUAAGGACCGGCUAACUCCGUGCCAGCAGCCGCGGUAAUACGGAGGGUCCAAGCGUUGUCCGGAAUCACUGGGUGUAAAGGGUGCGCAGGCGGGCGUGUAAGUCAGGGGUGAAAGCCACCGGCCUAACCGGUGAACUGCCCUUGAUACUGCACGUCUUGAGUCCCGGAGAGGCUAUCGGAAUUCGUGGUGUAGCGGUGAAAUGCGUAAAUAUCACGAGGAACACCUGAAGCGUAGGCGGAUAGCUAGACGGGUACUGACGCUCAGGCACGAAAGCGUGGGUAGCGAACAGGAUUAGAUACCCUGGUAGUCCACGCCGUAAACGAUGGAUGCUCGAUGUUGCACCGCCUUAGGUGCAGUGUCCAAGCUAACGCGUUAAGCAUCCCACCUGGGGAGUACGAUCGCAAGGUUGAACUCA
Molecule: ribosomal RNA, 475 nt
Filed under: Salinicoccus sp. UA-AR0213
Lineage: Bacteria; Bacillati; Bacillota; Bacilli; Caryophanales; Staphylococcaceae
Description: bacterial SSU rRNA
Rfam family: Bacterial small subunit ribosomal RNA
Source: RNAcentral